RNAcentral lists this ribosomal RNA (253 nucleotides) under uncultured bacterium. RNAcentral describes it as "partial 16S ribosomal RNA". It matches the Rfam family "Bacterial small subunit ribosomal RNA", at positions 524 to 776 of the family's 1533-position model. The record is from RNAcentral.
UACGUAGGUUGCAAGCGUUACUCGGAAUCACUAGGCGUAAAGCGCGUGUAGGCGGUGCUUUAAGUCUGUCGUUAAAUUUCACAGCUUAACUGUGAAAGGUCGACAGAUACUGAAGUGCUAGAGUGAGGUAGAGGAAACUGGAAUUCCAGGUGUAGCGGUGGAAUGCGUAGAUAUCUGGAAGAACGCCAAAGGCGAAGGCAGGUUUCUGGGUCUUUACUGACGCUGAGACGCGAAAGCUAGGGGAGCAAACAGG